RNAcentral lists this non-coding RNA (928 nucleotides) under Anomaloglossus stepheni (Stephen's rocket frog). RNAcentral's name for it is "12S ribosomal RNA". It matches the Rfam family "Bacterial small subunit ribosomal RNA". Lineage: Eukaryota; Metazoa; Chordata; Amphibia; Anura; Aromobatidae. The record is from RNAcentral.
AAAGGUUUGGUCCUAGCCUUGAAAUCAGUUUAUAUUUAAUAUACACAUGCAAGUCUCCGCACCCCUGUGAAAACGCCCUAAAACCCCUAACAGGGAAUAGGAGCUGGUAUCAGGCACAACCACCCGCCCAAGACACCUAGCCUCGCCACACCCACAAGGGCCCUCAGCAGUGAUUAACAUUGAGCAUAAGCGACAGCUUGACUCAGUCAAAUUAUACAGAGCCGGCCAAUUUGGUGCCAGCCGCCGCGGUUAUACCAAAAGCUCAAAUUGAUUUUUAUCGGCGUAAAGCGUGAUUAAAAGAACCCCCACCCUCUGGAAUCUAAUUAAAGUUAAGCUGUGACACGCCUACUUAUUAAGAAACCCAAAAACGAAAGUUAUUCCAACUUACCCUUGAACUCACGACAGCUGAGAAACAAACUGGGAUUAGAUACCCCACUAUGCUCAGCCGUAAACUUUAAAUUACACCUCAAUCGCCAGGGAACUACGAGCCAAGCUUAAAACCCAAAGGACUUGACGGUACCCCACAUCCCCCUAGAGGAGCCUGUCCUAUAAUCGAUAACCCCCGUUCAACCUCACCAUAUUUUGCUAAUCAGCCUGUAUACCUCCGUCGUCAGCUUACCACGUGAGCGCAGUGAGCUUAAUGUUUUUUCAACUAAACGUCAGGUCAAGGUGCAACUCAUGUUAUGGAAAGAGAUGGGCUACAUUUUCUAAUUUAGACUACACGAAAAACUACCAAUGAAAGUUAGUUAGAAGGCGGAUUUAGAAGUAAAAAGAAACCAGAGAGUUCUUUUAAACCCGGCACUGGGGUGUGUACACACCGCCCGUCACCCUCCUCUUAUGCUACAAACAAUUUUUAAUUUACUCUAGCCCCCACAGAAGAGGUAAGUCGUAACAUGGUAAGUAUACCGGAAGGUGUGCUUGGAUACAA